This 2198-nucleotide long non-coding RNA is filed under the name Nicotiana benthamiana. RNAcentral describes it as "long non-coding RNA (NBEN_LNC012810)". The record is from RNAcentral. Lineage: Eukaryota; Viridiplantae; Streptophyta; Magnoliopsida; Solanales; Solanaceae.
CAUGAACGACUUCGACUGAACGAACCAAACUCCAGCUCCCUCACCCUCUUCGUCAAGAGUCCGGUCGUCGUCCAGUGACAAUACAUACACACAGUCCGCCACACGACCACUUUCGCUUCUCCACCGUUACGCGAAGACCUCAACCAGCUCGUAACGCAGCCAGCCAGUCCACCAGACCACCCUUUUCCCGUCGUCAACGACGACCCGUCGUCCUACUGCUUCAUCUUCGUCUCCGUUCCAAGUAGCGAGCCAAACGCGUGGGUUCAAGCUUUGCGAGAAACUCGUUUUGGAAUUUUGAGUCGAAGUUUCUCUUUGUGCUCACGUUUGUGGUCCAUGGUAAUUUUGCUUCGAGUUCGGGGGUAUGUCCGGUUAAGAUCUCGUCGGAGACCCGUUGUUCAGAUUUGUUUGAGCUUCAAACUUGCCGAUCUGGGCCUUCAUUUGGACUCAUCUUCUUCUACAAGUCAUUAUAUCAUAAAUGGUACAUCAAGUCAUGGAUGAUUCAUACAUUCAGUACAAAAGUUCCGGACAGAUUCGAGUUGUUGGUUUCAAAGUUUUCGGGCAGAUUUGUUUCCGCUCGAGUUCGUCGUUAUUUCGAUCCGGUUAGUUGUUUUAAAUUUUAUUUUUACCCGUAUUAUGUUUGAUAUUCUCGGAUCUAAAAUUAGUACAUGUUUGAUUAUUUUCUUGUUCGUUGUUUAUCAUUUUCUUGAUUAUUUCUUCAGAUUGUUUUAUCAUUUAUUCUUGUUUAGUUUUAAUAUCAAAAUAUUUUAGUUUAAUCACUUGAAUCAUUUAUCUUGAUUAUAACGUUGUUAGAUUUAAUUUAAAGUUCAAUUGAUUAUUGAGUUUAGUAAUUUGAAUAUGUUUUAUUGUUAUGUUAAGUCUAAAUUUGGAUCCGAGUUAGAGUUUUGAAUUUAUUUGUUUGAUAUGUUAAGUUUAAUUUGAAUCCGAGUUUAGUGAUUUGAAUUUAAUUGUUUGUUAUUGUUGUUGAAUCUGAAAGUAUAUUUAUUGUUAAAAAUGUUGUUCAGUCAAAAUAAUUUUUAGUUGGUUCUGGGUUGUUCAUCAUAUAAUUUGAAUUUGUCGAUUGAAUUUGAUUAAGAAUUGGUUAUAGUUGCUAUAUUUUGGUUAAUUUAUCUAGGUGAGUUGGUUAUAGCUGACAUGGGUAAAAUAGUAAUUUUUAAUAAUUUUGGGGUAUUUUGGGAAUUGAUUAUAUGUAGGCUCAUAACUUUUAAUUAAAAUAAGAGGGGACAAGGGGUUGUGAGGGACAAGACGUAAUGAUAUAAAGUAAAAAUGGGUAAUGAUAAAAGGUCUUCUUUGACCACUGAAAAGAGGUGGGACCGUGGGGCCCAUGUUGACUACUUUUUGUUUAAUUAAAAAUCAAAAAUAGUGUAUGUAAUAAUAAAAUAUUAAAAGAUAGACAUAGGAAGGAAUAUAGUGGGGGCUGAAAAUUAAAGAAAAGGAGGAGUAAUUGGAAGGGUAAUAAUAAAGAGGAUAGUAAUAAUAAUUAAAGCUUGUUUUAAAUAUAAAUAAGAGCCAUUUGACACUUAAAGGAAGGACUUAAUUUUGGGGGACGGAAAAUAAGUUCAGUAUUUGGAGAAAUAGAAAACAAAAGGAAUUUACUUCCCUUGAGGAUGAAAGAUCAGUAGUUGUUUCUUGAUUCUGUGAUAUAGUAGUUGGUAUUUUUAUGGAAUCUUAUUGGAUCCAAGUUUGGUUUAUUUCUAGUCAUUGCCUGGGGUAUUUGCUGUGGAUGUUUGUUGUUGUUGCUGUGUAUUGCUAUUGCUAUCCUGCUGAUCACUCCUCUUCUUCUUUUGCUUCUAAUAUCAGGUACACAACUGGUACACCUUGUAAGUUGAUAACAUGAAGCACGAAUACAAAUGAAGAGUUGAAGUUUUAAUUUUAUUUAAUUUUGUUAUUGAAUGUAUUUAGGCCACUCUAUAUACUAUUGUUAUAUAAGUUUCUGCCAUGUUUGUAUGACGGGACAGCUUGUAGUGAUGCAUUAAAUAAUGUUAUGUUUUAAUUUGGUUAUUAGGUAUAUGUUUAAGCAUGUCCAUCACUGUCAAACUGUUUAAUAAUUGGAAUAAGAGGAAAUAGUAUGAGUUGAUCUUUACUGAAUCGGCUUGGUCAAACUGUUCAAUUCACUAGCUGUGAAGGUUUUGAUGUUGUCUAUAGUAGGUUAAUCGAACAUGUAGCUAAAUCUAUUUAAG